RNAcentral lists this ribosomal RNA (254 nucleotides) under uncultured bacterium. Its description in RNAcentral is "partial 16S ribosomal RNA". It matches the Rfam family "Bacterial small subunit ribosomal RNA", at positions 524 to 776 of the family's 1533-position model. The record is from RNAcentral.
UACGUAGGGUGCAAGCGUUAAUCGGAAUUACUGGGCGUAAAGCGUGCGCAGGCGGUUUUGUAAGUCUGUCGUGAAAUCCCCGGGCUCAACCUGGGAAUUGCGAUGGAGACUGCAAGGCUAGAAUCUGGCAGAGGGGGGUAGAAUUCCACGUGUGAGCAGUGAAAUGCGUAGAGAUGUGGAGGAACACCGAUGGCGAAGGCAGCCCCCUGGGUCAAGAUUGACGCUCAUGCACGAAAGCGUGGGGAGCGAACAGG